GCUCCGGUGGUGUAGCCCGGCCAAGCAUGGAGGCCUCUCGAGCCUCAGACCCGGGUUCAAAUCCCGGCCGGAGCA
Molecule: transfer RNA, 75 nt
Filed under: Candidatus Methanodesulfokora washburnensis
Lineage: Archaea; Thermoproteati; Thermoproteota; Candidatus Korarchaeia
Description: tRNA-Glu
Rfam family: tRNA
About the family: Transfer RNA (tRNA) molecules are approximately 80 nucleotides in length.
Source: RNAcentral